UCUGGAAACGGGGUCUAAUACCGGAUAUGAGCCUGGGAGGCAUCUCCCGGGUUGUAAAGCUCCGGCGGUGAAGGAUGAGCCCGCGGCCUAUCAGCUUGUUGGUGAGGUAAUGGCUCACCAAGGCGACGACGGGUAGCCGGCCUGAGAGGGCGACCGGCCACACUGGGACUGAGACACGGCCCAGACUCAUACGGGAGGCAGCAGUGGGGAAUAUUGCACAAUGGGCGAAAGCCUGAUGCAGCGACGCCGCGUGAGGGAUGACGGCCUUCGGGUUGUAAACCUCUUUCAGCAGGGAAGAAGCGAAAGUGACGGUACCUGCAGAAGAAGCGCCGGCUAACUACGUGCCAGCAGCCGCGGUAAUACGUAGGGCGCAAGCGUUGUCCGGAAUUAUUGGGCGUAAAGAGCUCGUAGGCGGCUUGUCACGUCGAUUGUGAAAGCCCGAGGCUUAACCUCGGGUCUGCAGUCGAUACGGGCUAGCUAGAGUGUGGUAGGGGAGAUCGGAAUUCCUGGUGUAGCGGUGAAAUGCGCAGAUAUCAGGAGGAACACCGGUGGCGAAGGCGGAUCUCUGGGCCAUUACUGACGCUGAGGAGCGAAAGCGUGGGGAGCGAACAGGAUUAGAUACCCUGGUAGUCCACGCCGUAAACGGUGGGAACUAGGUGUUGGCGACAUUCCACGUCGUCGGUGCCGCAGCUAACGCAUUAAGUUCCCCGCCUGGGGAGUACGGCCGCAAGGCUAAAACUCAAAGGAAUUGACGGGGGCCCGCACAAGCGGCGGAGCAUGUGGCUUAAUUCGACGCAACGCGAAGAACCUUACCAAGGCUUGACAUACACCGGAAACGUCUGGAGACAGGCGCCCCCUUGUGGUCGGUGUACAGGUGGUGCAUGGCUGUCGUCAGCUCGUGUCGUGAGAUGUUGGGUUAAGUCCCGCAACGAGCGCAACCCUUGUUCUGUGUUGCCAGCAUGCCCUUCGGGGUGAUGGGGACUCACAGGAGACCGCCGGGGUCAACUCGGAGGAAGGUGGGGACGACGUCAAGUCAUCAUGCCCCUUAUGUCUUGGGCUGCACACGUGCUACAAUGGCCGGUACAAUGAGCUGCGAUACCGUGAGGUGGAGCGAAUCUCAAAAAGCCGGUCUCAGUUCGGAUUGGGGUCUGCAACUCGACCCCAUGAAGUAGGAGUCGCUAGUAAUCGCAGAUCAGCAUUGCUGCGGUGAAUACGUUCCCGGGCCUUGUACACACCGCCCGUCACGUCACGAAAGUUGGUAACACCC
Molecule: ribosomal RNA, 1267 nt
Filed under: Streptomyces sp. AV259
Lineage: Bacteria; Bacillati; Actinomycetota; Actinomycetes; Kitasatosporales; Streptomycetaceae
Description: bacterial SSU rRNA
Rfam family: Bacterial small subunit ribosomal RNA
Source: RNAcentral